Molecule: ribosomal RNA, 394 nt
Filed under: uncultured bacterium
Lineage: Bacteria
Description: bacterial SSU rRNA
Rfam family: Bacterial small subunit ribosomal RNA
Source: RNAcentral
AAUCAACGCUGGCGGCGUGCCUCAGACAUGCAAGUUGAACGAUUAAAGCUCUCUUCGGAGAGUGCAUAAAGUGGCGCACGGGUGAGUAACACGUAAGUAAUCUACCCUCGAGUGGGGAAUAACGUCCGGAAACGGACGCUAAUACCGCAUAACGCAGCGGCACCGCAAGGUGACAGUUGUUAAAGGAGAAAUCCGCUUGAGGAGGAGCUUGCGGCAGAUUAGCUUGNGGUAAGGUAACGGCUUACCAAGGCUACGAUCUGUAACCGGUCUAAGAGGACGGUCGGUCACACUGACACUGAAUAACGGGUCAGACUCCUACGGGAGGCAGCAGUCGGGAAUUUUGGGCAAUGGGGGAAACCCUGAUCCAGCCAUGCCGCGUGAGUGAAGAAGGCCU